Molecule: ribosomal RNA, 851 nt
Filed under: uncultured bacterium
Lineage: Bacteria
Description: bacterial SSU rRNA
Rfam family: Bacterial small subunit ribosomal RNA
Source: RNAcentral
UGCAGUCGAGGGGUAGUUGUCUUCGGAUAAUGAGACCGGCGCACGGGUGCGUAACGCGUAUACAAUCUACCUUUUACAGAGGGAUAGCCCAGAGAAAUUUGGAUUAAUACCUCAUAGUAUUUUUGAAUGGCAUCAUUUGAUUAUUAAAGUUCCAACGGUAAAAGAUGAGUAUGCGUCCCAUUAGCUAGAUGGUAAGGUAACGGCUUACCAUGGCAACGAUGGGUAGGGGUCCUGAGAGGGAGAUCCCCCACACUGGUACUGAGACACGGACCAGACUCCUACGGGAGGCAGCAGUGAGGAAUAUUGGACAAUGGGCGCAAGCCUGAUCCAGCCAUGCCGCGUGCAGGAAGAAGGUCCUAUGGAUUGUAAACUGCUUUUAUACAGGAAGAAACACACCCUCGUGAGGGUACUUGGCGGUACUGUAUGAAUAAGGACCGGCUAACUCCGUGCCAGCAGCCGCGGUAAUACGGAGGGUCCAAGCGUUAUCCGGAAUCAUUGGGUUUAAAGGGUCCGUAGGCGGUUUAAUAAGUCAGUGGUGAAAGCCCAUCGCUCAACGAUGGAACGGCCAUUGAUACUGUUAAACUUGAAUUAUUAGGAAGUAACUAGAAUAUGUAGUGUAGCGGUGAAAUGCUUAGAGAUUACAUGGAAUACCAAUUGCGAAGGCAGGUUACUACUAAUAUAUUGACGCUGAUGGACGAAAGCGUGGGGAGCGAACAGGAUUAGAUACCCUGGUAGUCCACGCCGUAAACGAUGGAUACUAGCUGUUCGGAGCAAUCUGAGUGGCUAAGCGAAAGUGAUAAGUAUCCCACCUGGGGAGUACGUUCGCAAGAAUGAAACUCAAAGGAAUUGAC